UGGGGAAUAUUGCGCAAUGGGCGAAAGCCUGACGCAGCGACGCCGCGUGAGGGAUGAAGGUUUUCGGAUCGUAAACCUCUGUCAGAAGGGAAGAAACCGCACUGUGCUAAUCAGCGGUGCCUUGACGGUACCUUCAAAGGAAGCACCGGCUAACUCCGUGCCAGCAGCCGCGGUAAUACGGAGGGUGCAAGCGUUAAUCGGAAUUACUGGGCGUAAAGCGCACGUAGGCUGCUUUGUAAGUCAGGGGUGAAAUCCCACGGCUCAACCGUGGAACUGCCUUUGAUACUGCUUAGCUUGAAUCCGGGAGAGGGUGGCGGAAUUCCAGGUGUAGGAGUGAAAUCCGUAGAUAUCUGGAGGAACAUCAGUGGCGAAGGCGGCCACCUGGACCGGUAUUGACGCUGAGGUGCGAAAGCGUGGGGAGCAAACAGG
This 429-nucleotide ribosomal RNA is filed under the name Fusobacteriota bacterium. RNAcentral's name for it is "Fusobacteria bacterium partial 16S ribosomal RNA". It matches the Rfam family "Bacterial small subunit ribosomal RNA", at positions 355 to 776 of the family's 1533-position model. Lineage: Bacteria; Fusobacteriati; Fusobacteriota. The record is from RNAcentral.